Trametes gibbosa is the source of this 83-nucleotide non-coding RNA. Lineage: Eukaryota; Fungi; Basidiomycota; Agaricomycetes; Polyporales; Polyporaceae. The record is from the annotation of a GenBank genome assembly.
GGCCUAAUGGUCUAGAAGUAUGAUACUCGCUUUGGGCGUUUGCUGUUUGCGAGUGGUCCUGGGUUCAAUUCCCAGUUAGGCCC